UACGACUCUGUGGAAGCACAAUAAGCAGAAUACUUACACCUAGUAGCAUGAUAGACUCUCACUCUUUACGCUUCUCACCGUCUAUAUAAGAACCUACUGGGUAUUAGUCCAAGCCAUUUCAAAUCAAAGGCAAACUUUUGGAAGACAAAGAGAAGGAAUCAUGGCAGUCAACAAGAUUGGUGCAAUGGCUAUUCUUUUUUGUGGGAUGAUCCUUCUGGAAGCAAAUGUGGAGGUCGCGGCCGUCAGGCCUGGGCCUGGGCCUGAGACGCCUUGCCCACUCCAUUGCAUAUUUGUCGAGUCCGUGAUAUGUGAUGGAGUGAAGCUGGAGAUAAACUGCACCAAUUGCUGCUUCUCCAACGGCUGUCUUGUUCGCUAUACUAGUGGAAAGGAAGAGAUUUGUACUUGGCCGCCUGUGCAAAAAUUGGGGUUUGGUAAAGGGAAUUACAACAUAUAGUACUCUAAACGAGUACUAAAUAAUGGGUAUAAUAUAUGCCCUUUCUAGUGUGUUUUUCGGUUUCCGCGAGGGUGGGAUCAUAUAAGUAUGCCAAGUACUAUAUCAGUGAUUCAUGAGAUAGAGUGAAUCAUGAUGUUCAAUAAAAUGGAAGUAUAUGAAUGAGUACUUUUCUUAUAAGAAGCGACGACGUGCUAUACAUAAUUAAAUUCA
Coffea arabica (coffee) is the source of this 664-nucleotide long non-coding RNA. RefSeq lists it as uncharacterized. The record is from RefSeq and is a predicted model, not a curated record. NCBI's taxonomy places the organism in Eukaryota, Viridiplantae, Streptophyta, Magnoliopsida, Gentianales, Rubiaceae.